AGCUGUAGGAGGAAGUUGUGCUGUUGGAGAGGCUGAGCAGUACACACCAUAUCAGGCACAAGGAAGGCCGGCCUGAGCAUCAACAGCACCUGAAGGACACGGAUAUUAACAUUGAACUGGGGGAAAGAUCCUGGCUGAAAGGAUUUCAUCCAUAUGACUGCUAAAGCAUGUGAAGCGGAGCAAAAAUCCUCACAGCUCAACACAAAGCAAGAAACAAGAUUCCGGGAGGUGUACUUUAUACCAGUACAAAAAAAAAGCUGAACUGCAGUUUCAAAACUCUGUGUGUAUGGCAGAAAAAAC
This is a long non-coding RNA of Mauremys mutica (yellowpond turtle), 300 nucleotides long. RefSeq lists it as uncharacterized. Lineage: Eukaryota; Metazoa; Chordata; Testudines; Geoemydidae. The transcript has 3 exons. The record is from RefSeq and is a predicted model, not a curated record.